UAGAGGAAGUAAAAGUCGUAACAAGGUCUCCGUUGGUGAACCAGCGGAGGGAUCAUUACAGAGUUGCAAAACUCCCACAAACCAUCGCGAAUCUUACCCGUACGGUUGCCUCGGCGCUGGCGGUCCGGAAGGCCCUCGGGCCCCCCGGAUCCUCGGGUCUCCCGCUCGCGGGAGGCUGCCCGCCGGAGUGCCGAAACCAAACUCUUGAUAUUUUAUGUCUCUCUGAGUAAACUUUUAAAUAAGUCAAAACUUUCAACAACGGAUCUCUUGGUUCUGGCAUCGAUGAAGAACGCAGCGAAAUGCGAUAAGUAAUGUGAAUUGCAGAAUUCAGUGAAUCAUCGAAUCUUUGAACGCACAUUGCGCUCGCCAGUAUUCUGGCGAGCAUGCCUGUUCGAGCGUCAUUUCAACCAUCAAGCUCUGCUUGCGUUGGGGAUCCGCGGCUGCCCGCGGUCCCUCAAAAACAGUGGCGGGCUCGCUAGUCACACCGAGCGUAGUAACUCUACAUCGCUAUGGUCGUGCGGCGGGUUCUUGCCGUAAAACCCCCCAAUUUCUAAGGUGACCUCGAUCAG
RNAcentral lists this ribosomal RNA (569 nucleotides) under Gelasinospora sp. VL222. RNAcentral describes it as "eukaryotic LSU rRNA". The stretch from base 248 to 401 matches the Rfam family "5.8S ribosomal RNA". The record is from RNAcentral. Lineage: Eukaryota; Fungi; Ascomycota; Sordariomycetes; Sordariales; Sordariaceae.